Rhagoletis pomonella (apple maggot) is the source of this 343-nucleotide long non-coding RNA. RefSeq lists it as uncharacterized. NCBI's taxonomy places the organism in Eukaryota, Metazoa, Arthropoda, Insecta, Diptera, Tephritidae. The transcript has 3 exons. The record is from RefSeq and is a predicted model, not a curated record.
ACCCUUUGUUACAGUGCACUGAUUUAAUGUGAUAACGAUAAUAUCUUGCCAUCUCCUACUGUAGAUACCAUCAUUCUUUUAUUUCUUUUGGCGCAAUUUUAUGGAAUUUGGUCUGCAAAAUUCUUUAAAGGUAUCUUCGAUUUCAUAAAUAACGUCAACACGUGACAGCAACAGGUAAAAUAGGGGAACAACCUGGCAGUAUGGGCAUCAUCUAUUUCCAGUUAUCAAUUCCAAUGCCGAAAAUAUAAAAAUGUUACAACGGCAAGUCAAUAGACGGCAAUAGAUUGGUCAACAUCCGCGUAUUAUAUUACAAAGCCAUUGCACAGACAGUCUACCAUUUGCA